Long non-coding RNA from Haemorhous mexicanus (house finch), 1057 nucleotides. RefSeq lists it as uncharacterized. NCBI's taxonomy places the organism in Eukaryota, Metazoa, Chordata, Aves, Passeriformes, Fringillidae. The transcript is spliced from 3 exons. The record is from RefSeq and is a predicted model, not a curated record.
GAGGGACAGACUGUGAAUUGUACACUGCAUUAACAGACACCAUGACUGCAAACUAGCACUAAUAUGUAUUCUCUUGACUGUAAUGCACUUUUCUUCUUGACUAGUGUUUCAGACUGCGCAGCCAGACACGUGACUGGGAACAGCUGCUCUUCCUUUGUGUGCUGGGAAGAAUGAGAAGGAAAAACUUCUCUCCAAGUCAGUGUUAUGAAAAGAAAACACAGAAAAGCUGCCCUGGAACAAGAAGAAAGGAUUUCUUUCUCCAUUAAGACAACAUGUGCAGCCGGAACAUCAAAGACCAUGAGUGGAAAAGAAGCAAAAGGAUGCACAAACUCUGCUAACUUAAAGAUAUCAUACAACAUCUCACUUGGAUAAUUGGGUGACAUCAUUAACAAGACCCAUGGGUAAUCUUCAUUUCUAGGGAAGAGGAUAUCAUGGCAAUGGAGCCUCAGGCCUUGUCAUCCUUGGCUCCUGGAGCUGGUGAAGUUACUUCAGCCACAAGCCUCUGGACCACACUUCUUUGUUCAUGGCAAUAUCAUGACUUCCAUGAGAAAACUUCCUAUGUGCCUGCUACGUGUUCACUGUGUGGUGGACUACUGCUGAUCCUCAUGAUAUUGACUGAAGAAAGGACACAAAAAAAAAAUCAGAAGGGAAAGGAAAGAGACAUAGAGAAAAAUACACUUUUCAUACUUCAUGGAUGUAAUCAGAUUUUCUACUUCAAUCUGGCAUUUUUCGUAUAGAAUCACUGGGUUCCUGGUGAUGGAAUGAAGAAAGUAUGGUUAAUUUCUGUUUAUUUAAUGAAAAUCUUUUUCUUAGUCCUCUAAUACAUUAAGUAGUGUUUUUAUCUAACAGUGUUAAACAAACAAAAAAUCUUUUGAAAUUGUGAUUUUACAGCAUAUUUUUAUGUCACUUCUGUCUCUCUGAUUCAUUAACGUUUCACUGAUGUUUAGAGCUACAAAGAUGUAUUUCACUUAUAAUAAUAUUGCUGCUUAUCAUGAAAAUGAAGCGGAAACAUAUGGCAGGAUAUUGUCCAAAAAGAAAUAAAUAUUAAGAGGCUUUU